This 923-nucleotide ribosomal RNA is filed under the name Furfurilactobacillus rossiae. RNAcentral describes it as "bacterial SSU rRNA". It matches the Rfam family "Bacterial small subunit ribosomal RNA", at positions 518 to 1440 of the family's 1533-position model. Lineage: Bacteria; Bacillati; Bacillota; Bacilli; Lactobacillales; Lactobacillaceae. The record is from RNAcentral.
CGGUAAUACGUAGGUGGCAAGCGUUAUCCGGGAUUUAUUGGGCGUAAAGGGAGUGCAGGCGGUUAUUUAAGUCUGAUGUGAAAGCUUUCGGCUUAACCGGAGAAGGGCAUCGGAAACUGGAUAACUUGAGUGCAGAAGAGGGUAGUGGAACUCCAUGUGUAGCGGUGGAAUGCGUAGAUAUAUGGAAGAACACCAGUGGCGAAGGCGGCUACCUAGUCUGUAACUGACGCUGAGGCUCGAAAGCAUGGGUAGCAAACAGGAUUAGAUACCCUGGUAGUCCAUGCCGUAAACGAUGAAUACUAGGUGUUAGGGGGUUUCCGCCCCUUAGUGCCGCAGCUAACGCAAUAAGUAUUCCGCCUGGGGAGUACGACCGCAAGGUUGAAACUCAAAGGAAUUGACGGGGACCCGCACAAGCGGUGGAGCAUGUGGUUUAAUUCGAAGCUACGCGAAGAACCUUACCAGGGCUUGACAUCUUCUGCUAAUCCGAGAGAUCGGACGUUCCCUUCGGGGACGGAAAGACAGGUGGUGCAUGGUUGUCGUCAGCUCGUGUCGUGAGAUGUUGGGUUAAGUCCCGCAACGAGCGCAACCCUUAUGAUUAGUUGCCAGCAUUAAGUUGGGCACUCUAAUGAGACUGCCGGUGACAAACCGGAGGAAGGUGGGGACGACGUCAAAUCAUCAUGCCCCUUAUGUCCUGGGCUACACACGUGCUACAAUGGAUGGUACAACGAGCAGCGAAGUCGCGAGGCCAAGCAAAUCUCUUAAAGCCAUUCUCAGUUCGGACUGUAGGCUGCAACUCGCCUACACGAAGUCGGAAUCGCUAGUAAUCGCGGAUCAGCAUGCCGCGGUGAAUACGUUCCCGGGUCUUGUACACACCGCCCGUCACACCAUGAGAGUUUGUAACACCCAAAGUCGGUGGGGUAACC